AUGUUCAUCAUGGUCAUCACGAGCUUCACAUGCAUCAACAAAGAACUCAUUACACCAGAACCAAUGCAACCUGAUCACAGAACCAGUCAGCAUUGUCAAUUUACACAUGUGGUAAAUCUGUACCCCUUGUCUCUCCACAGCUGUACAACAGCAAAAAGUUCCCCACAGUUAUUUCGUGCUCUGGCAACACCCAGUGCAAGUGUUGCUCGUUACCUUUCCAACUUUCUGCCCUUACCUGAGAUUGCUGGAGCCCUUAUGGAGGAGUCAGAAAGGGCCAGGGCUUGCCCUGCAGGGCUGCUGGAGGGGCUGAGGCAAAGCAACUUGUGGGUUUGGAGCCUGCUUUGCCCUCUCCUGCUCUGCCAGGCAUGCUCCAGAGGACUGCAGCUUCUUCCAGGCUCAUCUUCAUCCUCAGAUGUCACCAACCCCCUUGUAUUCUAGGCGGAGUAUUUGAGGUACCACAGUUCUUGAAGAAUCUGAAGCAAACCCUGACCCCUGAAUGCCAGGCAUGAAUCAUGCAGGCAGGGACAUGCUGCAGGAACCCUGUUUGGCUGCGUCGUCUCUGACUUCCACCCAGAGAUCCCAUCUGAGGCAGGAAUCAUGGCUGGUAAUAUUCAGCUGCUGUCUAGUUACAUUAGCCACUUGCAGAAUUUGUUUCCUGGUUCCAGCUCGCUGAUUUUCUUCAUAGUGGAUGAAGAAUGCUGUCACAUAUUUAUGCCUCGUCUUUGAGCAGUUGAGGUCUGUGCAGUGACUGUAAAAAAUACUGAAUUUAAACCUUGUUAAUCACAACGUUUGUUGUCCAUAUGGUUCUGCUUUGUGCAGUCAGUUUUAUUUUAUUAAAUGCUAUUUCCUAGAUUCUCUUAGUUCUAGAAUAAUUUUAAUAUCACAUUUUAGAACAAAACAUGCAAACUUACUCUGAUUUUUAGCUUCUGUGAUUUUUUUCUCCUCCUUUGGCUUUAAAGGUUUUCUGUCUGUGAAACAGGAAAAAAUACUUCUAACAUUUUUGUAAAACUUCUUGAAGUACGUAUUCAGAGAACAUGUUUGUUUGAAAAUGUUUUUCUUAUGAUAUACUGCAUAAUACAAUUUCUUUAUAGUACUUAGGCUUUUAUUUUGAAAAAGUUUUCUCCCUGCAAUAGAAAAAAGCAAAACAUAUUUUUUUAGCACCUCAAAUGUUGCUUUUUUUUUUUUUUUUUGUCUGACCUGCACUGACAGGGCAUCCAAUAGCUGACACAGGGGCUAGUAUGCAUGUGCAUAUGUACACACAUGCUUUUUAGAUAUAUAAAAUGACUAAUUCUUGCUGAAUUUUCUUGUUUGUGUCCUUUUAGUUUUACUGUUUAAAUCUGGUGUAAGAUGGGGGGAGGUGAGGGGAAAAGUACUUCCGAAGGCGGCUGCAAAAUGAUCAUGAACGAUGCUGGCGUCGUGACAGUGAUGCCAAGCCAGA
Molecule: long non-coding RNA, 1438 nt
Filed under: Anas platyrhynchos platyrhynchos (common mallard)
Lineage: Eukaryota; Metazoa; Chordata; Aves; Anseriformes; Anatidae
Description: lncRNA (ENSAPLG00000026614.1)
Source: RNAcentral